This 1446-nucleotide ribosomal RNA is filed under the name Salmonella enterica. Its description in RNAcentral is "partial 23S ribosomal RNA". It matches the Rfam family "Bacterial large subunit ribosomal RNA", at positions 711 to 2140 of the family's 2925-position model. Lineage: Bacteria; Pseudomonadati; Pseudomonadota; Gammaproteobacteria; Enterobacterales; Enterobacteriaceae. The record is from RNAcentral. RNAcentral also lists the same sequence under 1 other name.
AGACCCGAAACCCGGUGAUCUAGCCAUGGGCAGGUUGAAGGUUGGGUAACACUAACUGGAGGACCGAACCGACUAAUGUUGAAAAAUUAGCGGAUGACCUGUGGCUGGGGGUGAAAGGCCAAUCAAACCGGGAGAUAGCUGGUUCUCCCCGAAAGCUAUUUAGGUAGCGCCUCGUGAACUCAUCUCCGGGGGUAGAGCACUGUUUCGGCUAGGGGGCCAUCCCGGCUUACCAACCCGAUGCAAACUGCGAAUACCGGAGAAUGUUAUCACGGGAGACACACGGCGGGUGCUAACGUCCGUCGUGAAGAGGGAAACAACCCAGACCGCCAGCUAAGGUCCCAAAGUCAUGGUUAAGUGGGAAACGAUGUGGGAAGGCCCAGACAGCCAGGAUGUUGGCUUAGAAGCAGCCAUCAUUUAAAGAAAGCGUAAUAGCUCACUGGUCGAGUCGGCCUGCGCGGAAGAUGUAACGGGGCUAAACCAUGCACCGAAGCUGCGGCAGCGACACUGUGUGUUGUUGGGUAGGGGAGCGUUCUGUAAGCCGUUGAAGGUGUGUCGUGAGGCAUGCUGGAGGUAUCAGAAGUGCGAAUGCUGACAUAAGUAACGAUAAAGCGGGUGAAAAGCCCGCUCGCCGGAAGACCAAGGGUUCCUGUCCAACGUUAAUCGGGGCAGGGUGAGUCGACCCCUAAGGCGAGGCCGAAAGGCGUAGUCGAUGGGAAACGGGUUAAUAUUCCCGUACUUGGUGUUACUGCGAAGGGGGGACGGAGAAGGCUAUGUUGGCCGGGCGACGGUAGUCCCGGUUUAAGCGUGUAGGCUGGUUUUCCAGGCAAAUCCGGAAAAUCAAGGCUGAGGCGUGAUGACGAGGCACCACGGUGCUGAAGCAACAAAUGCCCUGCUUCCAGGAAAAGCCUCUAAGCAUCAGGUAACAUCAAAUCGUACCCCAAACCGACACAGGUGGUCAGGUAGAGAAUACCAAGGCGCUUGAGAGAACUCGGGUGAAGGAACUAGGCAAAAUGGUGCCGUAACUUCGGGAGAAGGCACGCUGACACGUAGGUGAAGUGAUUUACUCAUGGAGCUGAAGUCAGUCGAAGAUACCAGCUGGCUGCAACUGUUUAUUAAAAACACAGCACUGUGCAAACACGAAAGUGGACGUAUACGGUGUGACGCCUGCCCGGUGCCGGAAGGUUAAUUGAUGGGGUCAGCGCAAGCGAAGCUCCUGAUCGAAGCCCCGGUAAACGGCGGCCGUAACUAUAACGGUCCUAAGGUAGCGAAAUUCCUUGUCGGGUAAGUUCCGACCUGCACGAAUGGCGUAAUGAUGGCCAGGCUGUCUCCACCCGAGACUCAGUGAAAUUGAACUCGCUGUGAAGAUGCAGUGUACCCGCGGCAAGACGGAAAGACCCCGUGAACCUUUACUAUAGCUUGACACUGAACAUUGAGCCUUGAUGUGUA